Molecule: unclassified non-coding RNA, 396 nt
Filed under: Helianthus tuberosus
Lineage: Eukaryota; Viridiplantae; Streptophyta; Magnoliopsida; Asterales; Asteraceae
Also listed under: 1 other name
Description: partial trnH-psbA intergenic spacer
Source: RNAcentral
CUCUACUAUUAUCUAGUAUUACUAUAUUUUUCCAUUAACAUAAAAAAGCAUAUUCUUUCUCAUUUUUAUUGAAUAAAUAAAAGUAAUAAAUAAGCAAAAUUUUCAUUUUUAUCUAUUUUCAAUUGAAUUUAAAUUGUAAAAAAAAAACUUCAUAAAAGAUUAGGAAAAGUAAAAGUAUAUGAUAUAGAAACCUAUAAUAUAAAUGAAUACAAAUAAAAACAAACAAAUCGAACCAAACUAUAAAAAGUACUUGUUAUUUUUAAAGUUUAAAGAAACUAUGUAAGGCAAAUAGUACUAAAUAAAAAAAAAGGAGCAAUAACGCCCUCUUGUUUUAUCAAGAGGGAAGCUAUUGCUCCUUUUUUAGUUCAAAAACUCCUAUACAAUCAGACCAAAGUC